Molecule: ribosomal RNA, 266 nt
Filed under: uncultured archaeon
Lineage: Archaea
Description: partial 16S ribosomal RNA
Rfam family: Archaeal small subunit ribosomal RNA
Source: RNAcentral
ACACGUCUACAUUAGAUACCCCUGUAGUCCCAGCCGUAAACUAUGCGCGUUAGGUGUAUCGGUGACCACGAGUCACCGAGGUGCCGAAGGGAAACCGUGAAACGUGCCGCCUGGGAAGUACGGUCGCAAGGCUGAAACUUAAAGGAAUUGGCGGGGGGAGCACCACAACGGGUGGAGCCUGCGGUUUAAUUGGACUCAACGCCGGACAACUCACCGGGGACGACAGCAAUAUGUAGGCCAGGCUGAAGACCUUGCCUGAAUCGCUG